UCAUUAGCUAGUAGGCGAGGUAACGGCUCACCUAGGCAACGAUGAUUAGGGGUCCUGAGAGGGAGAUCCCCCACACUGGUACUGAGACACGGACCAGACUCCUACGGGAGGCAGCAGUGAGGAAUAUUGGACAAUGGUCGAAAGCCUGAUCCAGCAAUGCCGCGUGUGUGAAGAAGGCCUGCGGGUUGUAAAGCACUUUCAGUUGGGAAGAUGAUGACGUUACCAACAGAAGAAGCACCGGCUAAAUCCGUGCCAGCAGCCGCGGUAAUACGGAUGGUGCGAGCGUUAAUCGGAAUUACUGGGCGUAAAGCGCGCGUAGGUGGCUAAGUCAGUCAGAUGUGAAAGCCCCGGGCUCAACCUGGGAACUGACCUGAUACUGCUGGCUAGAGACAUAGAGGGGAGUGACUUCCGGGUAGCGGUAAAUGCGUCAGAUCGGAAGAACCCAGUGGGA
RNAcentral lists this ribosomal RNA (451 nucleotides) under uncultured Gammaproteobacteria bacterium. Its description in RNAcentral is "bacterial SSU rRNA". It matches the Rfam family "Bacterial small subunit ribosomal RNA", at positions 238 to 717 of the family's 1533-position model. Lineage: Bacteria; Pseudomonadati; Pseudomonadota; Gammaproteobacteria. The record is from RNAcentral.